Molecule: ribosomal RNA, 253 nt
Filed under: uncultured bacterium
Lineage: Bacteria
Description: partial 16S ribosomal RNA
Rfam family: Bacterial small subunit ribosomal RNA
Source: RNAcentral
UACAGAGGGGGCGAGCGUUGUUCGGAAUUACUGGGCGUAAAGGGCGCGUAGGCGGCCUUCUAAGUCGAACGUGAAAUCCCCGGGCUCAACCCGGGAACUGCGUCCGAUACUGGAAGGCUUGAAUCCGGGAGAGGGAUGUGGAAUUCCAGGUGUAGCGGUGAAAUGCGUAGAUAUCAGAAGGAACAUCAGUGGCGAAAGCGACUUCCUGGACCAGAACUGACGAUCAGGCACGAAAGCGUGGGGAGCAAACAGG